AGCUGCGCGAGCUUCAGGCCUGCAAGGCCGCUGCUCUUGGCGGGAGCUGCCGGUGAUUCGGCAGCAGAAGAUGAUAGUUCCACAGCUGGCGACAGCUC
This 98-nucleotide transfer RNA is filed under the name Pseudarthrobacter polychromogenes. RNAcentral's name for it is "tRNA-Ala". The record is from RNAcentral. Lineage: Bacteria; Bacillati; Actinomycetota; Actinomycetes; Micrococcales; Micrococcaceae.